Molecule: ribosomal RNA, 309 nt
Filed under: Triticum aestivum (bread wheat)
Lineage: Eukaryota; Viridiplantae; Streptophyta; Magnoliopsida; Poales; Poaceae
Description: partial small subunit ribosomal RNA
Source: RNAcentral
AUGAACCGCUAUGGUAUGCCAUUCAUAUCUUUUGUUGGUCUUAUCAAUCACCGGAAGACCACUAUUUUUGGUUGUGCCAUAGUUUCGGACGAGACCGAACAGACAUACGUGUGGCUGCUGCAGACUUUUUUGAGGUCCAUGUGUCAAAAGAUGCCGAAGAGUGUAAUCAUAGACGCCGACGCUGCGAUGAUCAAGGCAAUUCGUGAAGUCUUGCCAUACAUUUGGCACCGUAUAUGUACGUGGCAUAUAGAAAAAAAUAUGAAGAUUCACCGCAGUCACAAGUCCUUGAAGGAGUUCCGAACUCUUUUG